RNAcentral lists this ribosomal RNA (227 nucleotides) under Sclerotinia sclerotiorum. Its description in RNAcentral is "partial 18S ribosomal RNA". The record is from RNAcentral. Lineage: Eukaryota; Fungi; Ascomycota; Leotiomycetes; Helotiales; Sclerotiniaceae.
UCUCCUUUCUUCCUGUUUUGCUCGUGCCUUCCUUUUCUUUCUUUUUUUUCGUCUGCUGCUGUUGUCUCUUUUGCGUCUGUGGGUGGUUCCGUCUUUGUUUUUUCGUUUCUGUCUCGCUUCUCCUCUCUCCCCUCCUCCUCCCUUCCGCCUCUUGUCCCUUCUCCUCUCCCCCUGGAACUAAAAGUCGUUACUAGGUUUCCGUAGUGUACCUGCGGAAGGAUCAUUAC